Daphnia pulex (common water flea) is the source of this 539-nucleotide long non-coding RNA. RefSeq lists it as uncharacterized. NCBI's taxonomy places the organism in Eukaryota, Metazoa, Arthropoda, Branchiopoda, Diplostraca, Daphniidae. The transcript has 5 exons. The record is from RefSeq and is a predicted model, not a curated record.
GCCUAAAACUCAUGUUUGAAGCACACAUAUAGUGGAAUACCAAUGUGCCGAGAUAAGGAUCUUUUCUGAAUCUCGCAAUUUUGGUGGCAUACCCUGCUACAGCAUGUUUGUUAUUAUGACUGUUUCUACUUCUGGUUAGAAGACAACCCAGCUGAGGGAUAGAGUUUCAGAGACAUGAAGAGUGUGAAGUGAUCUGCCAUGUAUGUACCAGAUCUGUUUGAUGAAAGUCAAUCAUCUGGAUGAUAAAGCAUCAGGAAGUUUAUCUCAUCAUGUGGAGUUAUGCUGUUGGUUGCUGUGAAUUCCAUUUUUACGGUUUCUUCUCUCUUCCUGUUCUUAUCAUGAACAUUUCAGUGUAUUUCUUAGAAAAGAGCACGCAGCUUCUUUAGGAAUCGUGCUGUCCUGGCACGAAGAUUCUUGUGCAAAUGCUGACCUUUGUCCAUGACGGAAGAGGGACUUCCACCAACAUCCUUAUCUUCGCGACGCAUGCUCUUCACUGCUUCUAAACACAAUUUGUUGUACUUCACUGGCGAAUUGGCGAG